Molecule: ribosomal RNA, 263 nt
Filed under: uncultured bacterium
Lineage: Bacteria
Description: partial 16S ribosomal RNA
Rfam family: Bacterial small subunit ribosomal RNA
Source: RNAcentral
UACGAGGGGGGCAAGCGUUGUUCGGAAUUAUUGGGCGUAAAGGGCGCGUAGGCGGUGCGGUAAGUCACCUGUGAAAACGUCUGGGCUCAACUCAGAGCCUGCAGGCGAAACUGCCGUGCUUGAGUGUGGGAGAGGUGCGUGGAAUUCCGGUGUAGCGGUGAAAUGCGUAGAUAUCGGGAGGAAGACCAGUGGCGAAGGCGGGUCGUCUGGACAGUUCCUGACGCUGAGGCACGAAAGUGUGGGGAAUCAAACAGGGAUUAGAA